AGAGUUUGAUCCUGCAGGACGAACGCUGGCGGGNNNUUAACACAUGCAAGUCGAACGGUGAACCUGCUUCGGUGGGGGACAGUGGCGAACGGGUGAGUAACACGUGAGCAACCUGCCCUUGACUCUGGGAUAACUCCGGGAAACCGGUGCUAAUACCGGAUAGGACCUCUGCGGGCAUCUGUGGGGGUGGAAAGUUUUUCGGUCAAGGAUGGGCUCGCGGCCUAUCAGCUUGUUGGUGGGGUGAUGGCCUACCAAGGCGACGACGGGUAGCCGGCCUGAGAGGGCGACCGGCCACACUGGGACUGAGACACGGCCCAGACUCCUACGGGAGGCAGCAGUGGGGAAUAUUGCGCAAUGGGCGAAAGCUGACGCAGCGACGCCGCGUGAGGGAUGAAGGCCUUCGGGUUGUAAACCUCUUUCAGCAGGGAAGAAGCGAGAGUGACGGUACCUGCAGAAGAAGCGCCGGCUAACUACGUGCCAGCAGCCGCGGUAAUACGUAGGGCGCAAGCGUUGUCCGGAAUUAUUGGGCGUAAAGAGCUCGUAGGCGGUCUGUCGCGUCUGCUGUGAAAACUCGGGGCUUAACUCCGGGCCUGCAGUGGGUACGGGCAGACUAGAGUGCGGUAGGGGAGACUGGAAUUCCUGGUGUAGCGGUGAAAUGCGCAGAUAUCAGGAGGAACACCGGUGGCGAAGGCGGGUCUCUGGGCCGUAACUGACGCUGAGGAGCGAAAGCAUGGGGAGCGAACAGGAUUAGAUACCCUAGUAGUCC
RNAcentral lists this ribosomal RNA (766 nucleotides) under uncultured bacterium. RNAcentral's name for it is "bacterial SSU rRNA". It matches the Rfam family "Bacterial small subunit ribosomal RNA", at positions 1 to 796 of the family's 1533-position model. The record is from RNAcentral.